This 5739-nucleotide long non-coding RNA is filed under the name Canis lupus familiaris (dog). RNAcentral's name for it is "lncRNA (ENSCAFG00000051102.1)". The record is from RNAcentral. Lineage: Eukaryota; Metazoa; Chordata; Mammalia; Carnivora; Canidae.
UUUUUUAAAGAUUUUAUUUAUUUAUUCAUGAAAGACGAGAGAGAGAGAGGCAGAGACACAGGCAGAGGGAGAAGCAGCUCCUUUGCAGGGAGCCCAAUGUGGGACUCGAUCUCAGGUCCCUGGGAUCAUGACCUGAGCCAAAGGCAGAUGCUCAAUCACUGAGCCACGCAGGUGUCCCUCCUUUUUUCUUUUUUUAAUAACUUGCUCAAAAGUCAUUUUCUUUGAAAGUUCCAUUAGUUUUCAGCAAAAAUUGAUGCUCAUCAUUUAUAUUACUGUAUGUUUUUAUACAUUAACACUUGUCUUAUUAUAGUCUAGUGUAUGAAUAUCUACAAUAUCUAUACUUCGUUCUUGAAUUCGGGAAUGCUCUGUUAAUUACUAUGAGGUAAUGAUGGUUGAUAGAAACUAAGUAAAGAAAAUGUGGCAAUAUUGAUGAUCCCGUAUCUCUCUAAAUACCUUUAUUUUCACUUACAAAUUUACCUUUCUUUCAUUGCUUUCCUUUUAUGCAACCAUGUUCUGCUAGCAGUGGAUACAAAUAUAAAUUCCAUUGACUGAGCCUACCUAUCUUAUAAUCAUAAAGUUAGGGUGCUGUGAAUUUCAGCUCCAUGUUUAAUGUCACACAUAUUUGAGUAUUUGAAUCAAGAUUAUAAUUCAGUAUUUCUGAGUGUCUGGUGUGUUCCCCUUGACACUAUAUUACUUAACUAGAUCUCUGGUAUUUUUUACCCUUCUCCCUUGUUUAUGUGUGAGAUUUUCCAAUGCAACUCAAUAAUAUGCAUAGACUUUUCUGGAAGCAAUCAAAGCAAAAAAAAAAGCAAUCAAAAAAAAUUUAUAUAUAUAUAUAUAUAUAUAUAUAUAUAUAUAUAUAUUCCUCAAACUUGACAUACUCCCAAAAGGAUUUAUUUAAAGGUUAGAUGAUGAAAAUAUUGGCCAGUUUAAGAUAGAGAAAUAAUCUGGAAGAAAUUAAAUUACAAAAAGCCACAGAUAAUGAAUACUGAAUAUAGCAGAACAUAGCUUUCUUUAUUCAAUUUACCUGUAAACUUUCCCAUACCCUUCAUAUCCUUUCGGUUUAGGUGAGGUAAAAAAGGGGGCAAGUGGGUGAUAAGCAUCUUAAUGUGAUGGCAUCCAUAAAAUCUACAUGUCACAUUUCAUCCAAGAGCUAAUUUUCUGUUUGAAUUAUGAACCUCUGUAAAUAGGAGACAGAAGUGGAAAGCCUGAAACAUCUAUCACUCUUGACCCUUGGCUGAUUGAAAUGUGAGGACUUCAAACAAGAAUAAGUUUUGGUUUAAGUGCCAAAUUGAAUCAUCAGAUAAAGAUAAUAAUAUUUUUAAAUACAGUGAAUGUACAUACUGAUAUUGACUUUAAUACUUCUUUAUUGAAUCUUACGAUGCACACAGACAUAUAUGUAAAUAUUAUUUUUAAAUAAUUGUGACCCCGUAUAGCCACACAGCGGGCAUCCUCUGUAGACUUUCACAGCAACAUUGAAAGUCAAAAUACUCAAGUGCUCUGACAAGGUUGUAAUGAUUUAGGAGACGCAAAUCUCUUUCAGUACAUAGUAAAUAAACCAGUGCUUUAACCUAUAUAUUUGAAAAUAUUCAGUAUAGAUCUGCGAUUGCCAAAACAUCUUUACAUGCUGUUUCCAAAGUGUUAUGUAUGUAUUUAUUCAUGUCUUGACUUGUUCCAGAAAAGAUUAAAUGUGAUCAAAAUACAUACAUGACAAAAUAAAAUAAAACUUGGCAAGGAUGAGUGUGAACGCAAUACUGAGUGAUAUAGAGAGGCGAUUGCUUUGAUUAAGGGUGAGGUAUAUUUUGGCUAAAUAUCUUCUUUUAAUUCACUAGGGACGGUAUGCAUCACAUGUGCAGAAAUAGACAGACUCCCAGAAUGUUAGAGUAUAGCUACAAAACUUAAGUUCAACAUCUUUUAUUAGAUUUAUUUUACAUUUUAAUUAUAAAACAGAAUAUACUUCUUGAUUUAAACAAGUCUGACGCAGACGUAGAGGAAGUGAGAGCCUGCCUCCUCUCCAAUCUUGCUCUUCCCAUAUUUUGUGAAGUAUAAAGUAGGAAUCAGUAUAGAUGCUACUAAUAGAGAGGGAAAUUCAGGUUCCACUGAUAUAUUCACCCCACAUUUAUUACAUGUCUAUGGUACACCAGGCUCUCUUUUGGGCUUCUUGCAAAAAAAAAGGGGGGGGGUGAAACUGGCACAGGUCUUCUGAGAACUGAGAGAGGCAGGCACACAUUAUUCAAAUGUACUAACUAUAUAAUUGCAUGUUCUGAGUGGAUGCCAUGCAGAACAACAGCAGGCUGUUAAUAAAGCUGGAAACCUGACCUCACCUGAGGGAAUCAGGAAAGAUUUCCCUAUUUGGACUUAUUUUGACCAGAGCCAUCAUGGAUGAAAUCAACUGUAAAGAAGACAGUGGGAAAGGGGAAUGUGGAAACAUGAUCUGAAGGGGAAAAACAGCUUUGCGAAGGCUCUGCAGUUGCAAAGAGAUAAACUAACUCGAAAUAACUGAAAAUCCAAUUGGGAAGACGCUAAUUUAAGAAAAUCAAAAACAUGUCAGCAUGUUUUAAGUGCGGAAGAGAGGUAUGGAAAGGAGUUGACGGAGAUGCAGCAAAGACCAGAUCAUGCAGUAAACAGACAGGGCUGUGGGCACUUCUGGUGUUUGAACCUCCUUUCCUGGCUAAUCCAUUACAGAGUUUCAUUUAGAUACAAUGGAAAACCAACACUCUAAAUCAUGUGCAAUUAACAAAAAUUCCAUGACUCUCAUCACCUUUAUUUGAUUAGGUUCUUACAUUAAAGUGUCGCAUGUAUCUCGAAUUCGCUAACCACAGUUUUGGGUUAUUGUUGUUGUUUUUAAUCACAAUCAAUCACUGAAAACAAUAUAUUUUUGCUUCACUACUUGUAUCAGGCCCAGGUAAAAUCCUUCUCUGUGGUGCUAUAUUGUUUCCAUAUAUACCUAUCUACCUAGCCACUCAUUAUGCAUAAAAAAUGGUCAAAACCUUUCUUACUUUUAUAUUUGGAAAUACUGGGAAAAGAAAGUUUUCUAGUGCUUUGGAAAUCUUAGGUAGUAGCAGAGAUUUCACAAAUGGGUGCUUAUGCUACUCUUGAGUUCCCUGUUGAAUAAAAUUUAUAUCCUUCCAUGGAUUAAACAGAAAGACAUAACCAACCAACCAAAUAAAGAUAAAGAAAAGCAAAACAAAACAAGAUAAAAUAAACUAACAAACUAAUAAACUAGCAAAAAAAAAAGUUACAAUUAGAGAUGGCUAUUAUACUUAUUUUCUUACUCUAAAAGUUUGUAAAUGAAAAUAAAGAUUCAUACUGCCUUUUGUGUACAAACUACAUUUAAAAUUAACCAAACAGCUUAACUGAUGAGGAAAUGCUCUUUAUAUAAGGACGCCAGCUAAUGAACGCAUGUAUGGUGAAUGGCAAGUUUGAAAUUCAUUUUUGGUUUCUGAGGAAGUGGAUCAUCCACACAUACUGAAAUCUUUGGGUAAAGCAUUAAUGAGGAACUGGAUGUUCACAUGUUAUUUAUCGGCUCAUAGAUCAUACAUUUUUUGAAAGGUGAGGUUUCACAGGGAUCUGGUUGCCAUUGUCUUGACUGAUGACUAGUCUUGUAAAUAUUAUGAGUGGGAUGACCAGAGAUUUGGAUGCCUUGUAAUUUGAAAUAAUAGGUGAGGCACAGCAUCACCUGUGAAGUAUGAGUGUCAAAUAUAUUUACACUGUGUUGAGUAAACAUCUAUUGGUCAACUGAGGUGCUCUUUUCAGCGUUCAAUGUUACAGAAAAAAAUGGAGAAAAGAGAAGAGUCAUAGCAACAAAAUAUAAUCUAUAAUCCUCAGUUGUGUCUUGCUUAUUUUUUUUGAAAGAUUUAUUUUAGAAAGAGAGUGUGUGAGUGUGGGGAGAAGGGGCAGAGGGAGAUGGAGACAGAAUCUUAAGCAGAUUCCACACUGAACACGGACCCUGACUUGAGGCUUGAUCACACCACCUGGGAUCGCAACCUGAGCUGCAACCAAGAGUCAGACGCUUAACUGACUGUGCCACCCAAAUGCCCCAUGUGUUUUGUUUUAAAUAAAAAUGUAUAAAAAGGUAUUUUAGAAAAAAAAACAGGGGAUGUUUGAAAAUGAACAAUGACUUAAAUGGCAUUAAGGAAUUAGUGUAAGAAGUAAUUGUGACAUGUAGGAGGUCAUCCUUGUAUUUUAGAAGUGAAUCCUGAAGUACUUGAGGAUGCAAAAUCAAGAUGCUUGUGAUUAUAUUUAGGGUUCCUUAGGAAAAGACCAGUAAAGUAUAUCUAGCGAACAUCUGAUAAGAACUUUAUGAAUUUUUAAAAUAUUUUCUCUUUACUCUUCGGUAUGUUUUAGGUCUUCCAAAACAAAUCAAAACAAAAAUAGAGAAAUUGUCAAAGAAUAGCAAUAAUAAAUAUUUAUUGGUAUGGCAGAAAGAAGUAAAGGAGAAAAGGAAGGAAUGGAAAGAAAGGGAAGAUCAGACAUUUAGGGAAACUACAUUCCUUUAAAAUGCCUAACAUUUUUCCUCUUUGGUACACAAGUUGCAAGAUUAUCUGAAGUCGGCCUAUUAGCUACAUUCUCUGCUUGGUACCUACAUUUUGACUCUUUGCCCAAUCCCGGUAUAUCUUAUCAGCACCAGGUACUAUUUUCAGAACUUUUGACUCUUUGCCCAAUCCCGGUAUAUCUUAUCAGCACCAGGUACUAUUUUCAGAACUUCUGGUUUCAAUUUCUUAACCUGAUAUUGACCAACAUCCAGGUUCCUCAUAGCAAUACCCACUAAAUAGGCUUUGCCCUUCUUUACCUAUGUCUGAACAUAAUUCAUUUCACGCGAGGAGAGCAAGAGGGAGAAGUAGUUUAUGCACAACCCAAUUACAGGAUAACUUGCAAAUUCAGUUGUAAUCUGUGUUUCCUAAAAAGCACAGGCUUUGGCCUAAUACUACAGUUUUACAACUACAGGAACUUACUCUCACUGUUUCCAUAAGUUGCCAAAAGUAGAACCUAAAGGUGACAACAAUAGCUAAGACUAUUCAUAAGUACUCAACGCGUUAUUGAUGCUAAACUGAACGUAGAAGACAAAUUAUGCUCAUAUCACAGAUCCAGACACUGAGAAUCAGAUGUAAACUAACUUAACCUGACCAGGUCAAUUUCCUAAAAGGUAUCUGAGCUGGGUUGCCUUAUUUAUUUAUUUAUUUAUUUAUUUAUUUAUUUAUUUAUUCAUUCAUUCAUUCAUAUAUAUUUUUAGAUAUUUUUAUUUUUUUACAUCCCAGAUUCUAUUUUAAGUUAAAAAAUAGUUUGCACAACUCAGAAUAAUAUAUCAUUUUCCAUUAGACUAAUGAUUGCAAUAUGAUUUCCAGAACAUAGAUAAAUUCACUUUUUCAUACAGCAUUUUACUUUUUUGUUGUUGUUGCAAUUGCAAGUUAAGAAUAGCUAUAUCCUCAGGCUACUGCAGACUUUUAUCAGCAUUUUUCCAAGGCCUGGGCCCCAGGGCUAGGAAUCCCCUAUUAUCUGCAUUACUGACACCUACAGCAGCCUCAGUCAGGGAUGUGCUCCUGCUGGCAAUUGUAGACAUAGUUCUGGAUUUACACUGGAGACCAAUGCAAAGCUUCUGUCAAUACCCAGGGCAUCCUUCAGAAAACUCUUGUGGCACUACACUUGAACUUUGAAUUGUGUGCUGCCCAACUGGUAGCAGUAACUGAGUACCUUGCUGUCUGAAUAUUACUCCACGUUUUGAAAAAAAAAAAAAAAAAA